GUCAGCGCCCCGGGUGGCGCCGCCUCCGCCCGCCGGCCUGGGCCCCGCUCCCGCCGCCGGGAAGGCGGGCCGCGGUAGAAGCUGGGGGCUGCCUUGCUUCCUCGUACGAUCCGGUGAACUUUCCCGAUGCUCCGGCAAAAGUCAGGGGACCCGAGAGUGAACUGUUUGUUGUAGGACACAGCUUACCUGGGAUUGGUGCCGCCCAGGACCCCUUAUUACAACCCAUAGACCCACAGACCUUAGGAGCGGAGGACAGUCCAGUGAGUCGCAACUGAGCCACAGGACUGCUGGGGAAGACAAGGGGUUAUGUUGUCGCUCUCGCCCCUGCAGUCUUGCUCUGAACUGGCUCCCUGGUCUCACCUGUCCUGCUUAGAGCUUUUUUGUUGGUUGGUUGGUUGGUUGUUUGGUUGGUUGGUGAGAUAUGAAUGAGGGUCCUUCUCUGUCCCCUACCCAGGUCGACCCUGAUGAGCAGGGCCAUAUAUUUAGGAAGAAAGCUGUCUGCUAGAUCUGCUUCCCCUUUGCCUGUCCCCACACAAUACGUGGAGAUGCUAGUCUCUGCAGAUACAUUCCAGAGUUUCAGACCUCUGCUUACCUUGACAAGGCAGAGUCCCAGUUAUCCCUGCCCAGAGUGCGGCUGCCAAUCAGCUCCAUUGCUGGCAACUCAGAGGAUAGCCUGUUAUGGAAUCUGCCCUCAACCAACCCCCACCCUUCCCAAAUAGGUAAACCCAGGGCCACAAAUCAGGAUCCGAACCAGGGCAAGCACUGUGUAACCUAAGGGCACACAUGUGGCAGGGGAGAUAGGAAAUUGGGGCGGGGGGCGCAGACAGGUUACCCCGUCAACCUGUACACAAUGAAUUCAUUUCAAGCUACCUGCCUGAACUCCAGCUGUCCCCUUGGGUCUCCUCUGUACUGGAUGGUCCUUCCCCUUACAAGGCAAGAAACAGCUGUUAAUCCCCUGUCCCUGUCACCAGGCAUGUGUCCUGGUGGGGUAGGCACUGCCCUGUUACCUAAGGCACUCUCCCCAAGAGGUGGUGCAGUUGUCAUUCAGCAGAAGUGAAAACUGAAGCUCAGAGCAGUUAAAUGCAGAAGGGAAGUAGCCUACCAAAGGUGGGGGCAGAGGGAGCAAGGGAAGAGGACACCCCUGCCCAAGUCCCGAACCUGUUCCUCUCACCUCACCUUUCCCCCAGAAAGCCUGUUCUCCUUCUGGUGGGGUACUGACCACUGGGUGCCUCCAUUUACUCUCCUUAUCUUCUGACAUUCUCUCUGGCAGCCAGCUGUGCCCACUACAGCUGCCCCUGUGCUUGGGGAUCAGGUACCCUGAUUCUCAGAGCCCUCCCGAAGCUGCUGAGCUAUACAGCAGUACAGACCCUACCCCAGGCCUCUGGCCCUAACUUCUGUUUGUUUUCUCCAUCCCUUCUCCCACCUCCUAGCCUUAGAUGUUUAUUGAGCACCUACUCUAUGCUGACAGCUGUACACCAGCACUCGGCUUUCCUGUUCAUCCUGGAGUAGAAAGAACCAGGGAUGGACUUAGAUCUGAGUCAGCGAUGGGAGAAAGAAUGAGAAGGCUGAAUGAACAGAUGAGUCAUCCUCUGAGAACAUGACCCAGGAGAGGGGACAAGGUGCUCCUGCUAGCAACAAGAGGUAGAGAUGCUCCGGAGCGGGGGUGGGGGUGGGGGGCAGUGUGGUCUGGUGGCCCCCUCUACUGGAGCUUCCUGCCCACCCCCCCCUCGCUCCUCAGGGCUCAGCUCCAGCUCAGCAGCCACACCUGUUCCCACACCACCACUCACAUGCCCAUUGGCUAGCCUGUGGCCCUAUAAGGGGCAAUGGCUCACAGGUAUGUGGUCUCCACAUCAGCUUCGUAUCCAGGCACUCCAGUGACACCAUGACUUUGGUACUGCACAGCAGCCCCCAGCUUCUUGGCACAGACAAGUCUGCCUCCACGGAGGUAUACAGAGGCAACUCUGUUGUCUUGCUUGUAAAUAUCAGAGUUACCCAGAAUCAUUCCUAAAGUGCCGGCUUCCUUGUUUGUUUAGUUUGUCUUUCCAUGUAUUUAUUUAGGGUAUGUGUGUGUGUGACCGUGCUCAUGUCACAGAACAGCAGUAGUCAGUUCCCUCUGCCUUGUGGGUCCCAGGGACUGAACUCAGGUUGUCAGGCUUAGUGGCGAGCACUUUACUGGCUGAGCCCUCUCAUCUGGCCCCUCCUUAGCAGAGCCAUUUGACCCCUUUCUUGAGAAUUCUGCCCUGAGUGAGCCAGCUGUCCUGGGCUCUCUGUUAUGUCUGGGCGCGCUGAUGUUGCGUGCUUUGCUUGAUCACUUUGCUUUUCGUAAGCUCUGUAAGGAAGUGUGAGUCUUCUAACUUUUAUAAGAUUACUGUGGCUAUUUGUGGUUCCCUAACAUUCCAUACUAAUUUUAGCAUAGAUUUUUCUUCCUUAAAAGUUUGUUUCUGGGGCUGCUGAGAUAGUUCAGUGGGUAAGAGCAUGUACUGUUCUUACAGAAGACCAGAGUUCAACUCCCAGCACUCACAUUGGCAGCUUACAACUUGUAACUCCAGCUCCAGGGGAUUCCCCUAACCUCAUGCAUACUAGAACACACACACACAGUGCAUGUAAAAAUAAUAACAUUUAAAAAUUUUUUAAAUGAUUUAUGUAUUUAUUAUAUGUAAGUACACGGUAGCUGUCUUCAGAUACCCCAGAAGAGGGCAUCAGAUCUUAUUACAAAUAGUUGUGAGCCACCAUGUGGUUGCUGGGAUUUGAACUCAGGACCUAUCAGAAGAGCAGUCAGUGCUCUUAACUGCUAAGCCAUCUCUCAGUCCCCAACAUUUUUUUUUUAAGUUUGUUUCCUAGGCUGGGUGGUGGUGGUAGCACAGGGCCUUUAAUCCAAGCACUUAGGAGGCAGAGGCAGAUGGAUCUCUGAGUUGGAGGCCAGCCUAGUCUACAGAGUAAGUUUCAGGAUAGUCAGGGCUAUACAGAGAAACCCUUUCUCAAAAAACCAAAAAAAAAAAAAAAAAAAGAAAGAAAGAAAGAAAGAUAAGUUAGUUUGUUUCCUGUGGAGCCUGGUAAAGUGUUUAUCACACAAGCCUGGCAACUUGAGUUGGAUAGAGUCUUUAGAACCUAUAUUAAGGUGAAUGAGAGAACUCCACAAAAUUAACUUCUGAUCACCACACAGUGCCAUGUCACAUACACAUGUGUGUACACCCAUUUGCACACACACACACCUUUUAAAGAUUUAUUUUUGAAAAAAAAUGAUAUUUUGAAAUGUAAAAAUAUCUCUAGAUUUUCUAUCUAUCUAUCUGUCUAUCUAUCUAUCUAUCUAUCUAUCUAUUUUGGGGAGGAGAGAACAACUUUGGGGAGCCAGUUUCUCUCUUUCUACUAUAGAAUGCGUGCCUGGGGAUCCAGGUCAGCUGGUCAGACUUGGCUGUUAGCACCAUUACCUGCUGCAGCCCUCUACAUUGUUCUUAAGCGAUUGUGUAUGAAGUUCCCAAAUUGGUGAGCAGUCUGUCUUUUCAUGUAAUUACUUGGAGGUAAGUCUGGUCAGCUUAUUUGCCUUGCUUCCUUGCUCUAGAGUAGGUUUGUUUGUUUGUUUGGUUUUUGUUUUUACAUUCAUUGACUUUGUGUGUGUGCAAAUGGGGGUUCAGAGUACAACGUGGAAGUGCCUAUUCUCCCCUGCAUGUGGAUCCCAUCAAGGUUGGAGGCAGCAGACACCUUUGCCUACUGAGCCAUUGCAGUGGUCCAUUGACUUUAUAUUUACUUGCCUGUAUGUAUGCAUUUUUCCUUUUUAUCUUUUUUAAUUGUAUGGGUAUUUUGUCUACAUGUAGGUCUGUACAUCAGCUGUGUUCCUGGUGCCUGUGGAGGCCAGAAGAGAAUGUCAGAUCUUCUAAGGCUGGGGAUGCAGACUCUUGUGAGCUGCCAUGUGAGUGUGGGACUUGAACAGCAGCCAAAUACUUUUAACCCCUGAGCCAUCACUUCAGCAUCUCCCCCACACCUUCUUUAAAACAGUCUCUUGUAACCAUAACUGAAAACUAUCUUGAAGCCUGAAUACUCCCACUGCUAUCUUGAGUGUGUGGCUUAGCAUCAUGUAUCACGCCUGGUCUAUGGGGUUCUGGAGUUGAAACAGGACUUCCUGCGUGCUAGGAAAACACUUUCCAACCAAGAUACAUCUCUACCAGAAUUCCUUUUUUGGUAUUUUUUGUUUGUUUGGGGUUUUUUUUUUGGGGGGGGGGUUUGUUUUGGGUUUUUUUGGUAUGCUGUUUAUUGUUAGUAUAUGGAAACAAAACUGAUUUUCAGUGUU
Long non-coding RNA from Mus musculus (house mouse), 4285 nucleotides. RefSeq annotates it as PHD finger protein 2, opposite strand 1. Lineage: Eukaryota; Metazoa; Chordata; Mammalia; Rodentia; Muridae. The record is from RefSeq and is a predicted model, not a curated record. The transcript is spliced from 2 exons.